This is a long non-coding RNA of Brienomyrus brachyistius, 2130 nucleotides long. RefSeq lists it as uncharacterized. The transcript is spliced from 2 exons. The record is from RefSeq and is a predicted model, not a curated record. Lineage: Eukaryota; Metazoa; Chordata; Actinopteri; Osteoglossiformes; Mormyridae.
UGGAAAAAAAAAUCUCUGUUUGACACUCAUCUGCCUGCCCAGAAUCCUAGAUAGUACAGAUGAAAUAGUCUGUUAAACAAUAACUAAGCUGAAGUUAAUGAUUAUACAGCUUAUUUUAAAACAUCCAAUAGCUUCUAGGACUAUAACUGUAAUUUACAUGGAGCAGAAAGGAUAUCUGAUAAAUACUGGUGUGUAUGACCCCAGGCUAAACAGCCUGCGUGCAGAGAGUAGGGGGACCGGGAGGGUAUUUUGUCGGACAAAUAAGCAGUUUUGUGUAUCGCUUGCAACCCUAUCUGGAAGAACAUAAUGUAAGUCAAGGUGCACAGUGAGGCAUGCACGCACACACACUAACCAGAUAAUGACAAAUCAGUCAACAAAAUGUAUUCAUAAUAAUGGAAUUUGGAAUUAACAAAUGAAUGUCACAAUUGUUUUUGACAAUAAAAUGGGAAAUUUUUAUGAAACAUAAAAUAGUUAAUCACCUAGCAAUUCAAACAUUGGGUGUUUUUCAAUAUGUGUACUUGACAGUACUUGUGUAAUAGAAAAUAUAUAAUAACCGGUCUGAUAAUUCAAAUGGCCUGUCUGGGUUUACCUCUGAAACCCCAAAAGUGCAUGUGAGAGGUCAUAGAGGUGUUAAGCCGGUUAAAUAAAUUAUUCCUUGGUCCUCAAGGACAGUGGUGAUCCAUCUGCAUCAUUCAGAAGUACAAGCAUAAUCCUUUUUUCUAAAGGUACCUCUUAUCUUUCUAUGAUUUAAAAAUUCUAAAUUGAAAGUCAAUCAUAGGUGACAGAAUUGGUCUUUGAGGACAAAAACCAAUAUCAAGAUAGAUGCACUUCAAUCUAAAAACUGAUACAUGUCAGAUUUAAAGUCAAACUGAAACACAACCUUUCACUAAUAUUUUCUCUUCAAGUAACUGAAAAAGAUGCUCAAAAAGAAAAUUUGUGAAUACCUGUGGUGGCUGCAAUGAAAAUGUCACAGUCAGCUGCUAUGGUCACAGCUUUUUGCGGACAUUUUUGUUCUGGUAGUUUAACUUGGAUAAGACGGCACGUUCGUUUUACGGUGUAGAAAUUUCAGGAGGCAGAGAAGUUACUGUAGAUACUAAACCAAGGAAUGAGUCAGUGUAAGUCUCCGCUUACUGCUGAGAAGCUCAGUUCCACUUAGGACUAAUAGCCAUAAAGAGUGGUAUGCUGUACCUGUAAGAACAGAACACUUUCAAAAUGUAUCGCUGCGAGAGAACUGGAGAGCGGCUGUUUUGCGGCGGAGGAGGAAUGAAAGAGCGUGGGUGGGCGGUCAGCCUCCGCGACUGCUGAGAAUAAUGCUGUGCUAAGUGCAUAAUGGAACCAAAGCGUAUUUCUCAGCAAAAUAAACUGCAAGCACUCUGUCUGGCUCCUGGCUUAACCAAAUGUAGUUAACUCUUCUUAAAGAGUGGUGGGUCUCACGCCAGGGCGUAUGAAAGCCUGUUGCCUUGGGGGAAUCUGGUGGCCUGCCUCUGGUUUGCUCUGUGUCUAUACGCCCGCAGUCAAGUGACCGGUCAUCUCUACUUUGCCCUGGAAAUCGAGACCAGGCCCCCCAUGACCCUGCGCUGCAUGCGCAGUUAAAAAAGACCCAGUGUACUUUGCUGAUUUGGCCUCCAAUCUGUCAUAUUUGAAGCAUCACUUGUAAAGUCUAUAUUUAACUGACGUUUGGGAAAAUGGUAACAUAACAUCUCUUCCCUGUACUGACUCGAUUGAAACCUUACUGUCUACACAUUUCAGGGUCUCCUCUAUUUGUUUUUAUUACAUUUUCUUGUGAAAGAGUCCCAUUUGAUUUUCCGGUUUGCCGUCUACAGUAUAUUGUGCCGGCUUCAUUCCUGCUCAUUCUCUAUACCCCCGUUGUCAUGCCCCGCAUCCCUUCCCCCUCAUUCUCUCCCAGUUGCUUGUUUAAUUUUACCUCUCGUUACAGUCCUCGUGUGGAUCACUCCAGGUGCCUCUCAUCUGCUCCCUCGUCAGUGAUGUAUGAAGUCCCUCCCUGUCUCGAGCUCCCCAGUCCAGUCAUUGAUGUUUCUGCCAGCAUGCGCCCCCCCCAGUGUGCCCUGUGCCCGAUCCUCCCUACCCCGAUUUGGCCCCUCAUGGUCCUUUAAUAAAGCCCUUUUGGUU